RNAcentral lists this ribosomal RNA (1257 nucleotides) under Triticum aestivum (bread wheat). RNAcentral's name for it is "partial small subunit ribosomal RNA". The record is from RNAcentral. Lineage: Eukaryota; Viridiplantae; Streptophyta; Magnoliopsida; Poales; Poaceae.
AUGUCGGCUAAGCAAGCCGGAGGUUCAUCCUCCAUUUCGAGCCAAAAACGAAUAAAUGGGGGCAGGAGCCCACACAGCACAUACGACCAUUUAAGCCGGGCCUCGCGUGAGCAAAGCUGCCGAGCAUCAUCUCGUCCUCCUCCACCCGCGUCAACGCCGCAGUCAAAACUCCACAUUCCCACUCCCACCAUGCCGCCCGCCCGGCUGGCCGCGCCGGCCGCCGUCCUCCUCGUCCUCCUGCACCUCGCCGCGACGGCCACGGCGACCAACUUCACCUGCAGCGCGCCGCGGGGCACCACCUGCGACUCCGCCAUCGGCUACCGCGUGCCCAACGCCACCACCUACGGGGACCUCCUCGCCCGCUUCAACACCACCACCCUCGCCGGCCUCCUCGGCGCCAACGGCCGCCCGCUCGCCACCUCCCCCAAGACGCGCGUCGCCGCCCAGGCCACCGUCCGCAUCCCCUUCCGCUGCCUCUGCGCCGGCAACGGCGUCGGCCAGUCGGACCACAAGCCCGUCUACACCGUGCAGCCGCAGGACGGGCUGGACGCCAUCGCCCGCAACUCCUUCGACGCCCUCGUCACCUACCAGGAGAUCGCCACCGCCAACAAGAUCGCCGACGUCAACCUCAUUACUAUCGGCCAGAAGCUCUGGAUCCCGCUGCCCUGCAGCUGCGACCCCGUGGACGGCGCCGCCGUCUUCCACCUCGCCCACAUCGUCGGCGGCGGGGAGAGCACCUCCGGCAUCGCCGCCACCUUCGGCGUCACCGAGGACACGCUGCUCAAGCUCAACAAGAUCGCCGACCCCAAGACACUGCAGAAGGACCAGGUUCUUGAUGUCCCGCUCCCUGUUUGCAGCUCAUCAAUCAGCAACAGCUCGGCCGAUCAUGAUCUGCGCAUCCCGAACGGCACCUACGCGCUCACCGCGCAGGACUGCAUCCAGUGCCGCUGCAGUUCAAACACCUUCCAGCUAAACUGCACCGCCCUGCAAGGCAAGAAGGGGUGCCCGGCAGUGCCGGUGUGCAGCGGAGGGCUCAAGCUUGGGGACACAAGCGGCACCGGUUGCGAAUCCAAGAUGUGCGCUUACAGUGGUUAUUCCAACAGCUCUUCACUCAGCAUACAGACCACUCCUCUCAAAAACCAGACAGCACCAGCAUGCGAGAAAGGAGGAUCUUCGAGGUCGGUGUUCGCGGGGUCCAUGUGGAGGAUAUCUGCCAUCUCCUUCCACAUGGUGUUGAUAUUGGUAUGCUUCCUUUGA